CUGCAGUAUCCUGACUGUGCGAAGGUAGCAUAAUAAUUUGCCUUUUAAUUAAAGGAUAGAAUGAAUGGUUAGACGAAGGUAAGGCUGUCUCAUGUGUAUUUAUUAGAAGUUGAUUUUUAGGUUAAAAAGCCUAAAUAAAAUUGAAAGACGAGAAGACCCUAUUAAGCUUUAAAAAAUAUUAUAACUAUCGCUAUAUCAUUAAAUGUAGUUUUGUAGUAACAUUUUAGUUGGGGCGACUUGGGAGUAGAAAAAACCUCCCUAAAACUAAAUAAAAUUUGAUUUGUGGUCCAAAAAAUUUUGAGGUAAGAACAAGUUACUAUAGGGAUAACAGCGUAAUUCUACUUAAGAGUUCUAAUCGAAAGUAGAGUUUGCGACCUCGAUGUUGGAUUAAGAAGUAGUAAAGGUUGCAGAAGCUUUUAUAAUUAGUCUGUUCGACUAUUAAUAUCUUACAUGAUCUGAGUUCCAACCGGA
This 471-nucleotide ribosomal RNA is filed under the name Plectostoma wallacei busauense. Its description in RNAcentral is "Opisthostoma wallacei busauense partial 16S ribosomal RNA". It matches the Rfam family "Bacterial large subunit ribosomal RNA", at positions 1931 to 2620 of the family's 2925-position model. Lineage: Eukaryota; Metazoa; Mollusca; Gastropoda; Architaenioglossa; Diplommatinidae. The record is from RNAcentral.